UUUAUUGGAGAGUUUGAUCCUGGCUCAGGAUGAACGCUGGCGGCGUGCCUAAUACAUGCAAGUCGAGCGAAUGGAUUGAGAGCUUGCUCUCAAGAAGUUAGCGGCGGACGGGUGAGUAACACGUGGGUAACCUGCCCAUAAGACUGGGAUAACUCCGGGAAACCGGGGCUAAUACCGGAUAACAUUUUGAACUGCAUGGUUCGAAAUUGAAAGGCGGCUUCGGCUGUCACUUAUGGAUGGACCCGCGUCGCAUUAGCUAGUUGGUGAGGUAACG
RNAcentral lists this ribosomal RNA (274 nucleotides) under Bacillus cereus. Its description in RNAcentral is "partial 16S ribosomal RNA". It matches the Rfam family "Bacterial small subunit ribosomal RNA", at positions 1 to 262 of the family's 1533-position model. The record is from RNAcentral. Lineage: Bacteria; Bacillati; Bacillota; Bacilli; Caryophanales; Bacillaceae.